Molecule: long non-coding RNA, 1469 nt
Organism: Gasterosteus aculeatus aculeatus (three-spined stickleback)
Lineage: Eukaryota; Metazoa; Chordata; Actinopteri; Perciformes; Gasterosteidae
Source: Ensembl
UGGAAUCCAGGUAUCGUUGUGACUGACAGAAUAGAAGAGCAGAACCCAGCGGGCACAUCAGGGAGGAGCUCAGUCAGAGAUCGUCUCCGUAUCAUGUGUUCAGACAGGAGACGCAGACGCACGUUACUCUUCAAGGGCUCGGAAGUUGCAAGAACUAGACUCAACAACAUGUCGCUUAGAGACAAACAGGAAAGCUGUAAGAUCAGACAGAGGAAGAUAAAGAAACAGAGUCAGCUGAAGGGCCUCCACGUUCCUGUGAGAGCGUACCGGCGCUCAACUGGAGGCCUUGUGAUCGAGCUGGUUUGAUCAAUAACUCAAUUGGUUUCAGAGACUCGAAAUGCUGAAAUAAACUUGAUCUUAACCAAAAAGGUACCGUUGUGUGGGAGCAACAGACCUGGAACAAUGAGUAUAUAAAAUACUCAAGUAUCAGUAAUGUACUUGGAGAUCAUUGGUUGCAGAAUUUUCUCAUCGUUUUGAUGCCUCAUUUAAAUGAUCUGGAAAUCUUGAUACCCGCCCAAAAGUUUUUUCACAUUCUGUGCUUUUCUCCUACACACGUCCGAGAUCGUUGCACCGCGUAGUUCGGUUCUGCACAGUCAGCUCAGGGACCUGCAGAACGUCACCGGCACCUUCAGCAAAGUCGGCAAAUGCAAAGCCGUCGCCACCAAAGACCUCGUGCGUUAAGAUCUUGAAGAAGAUGGCCGCCGGUUCCCGUGGGCCCAACGGAGAGCUGGCCAUGCUGAAAAAGAUCCGUGGUCUCAAUCCAUCAAAUGGAUCCUUUGUUUUCUCUUCCAAGUGGCGCAAACAGGCUUCCACAUUGUGAGACAGCCGUCCAUCCACCCGAAAGGAGAGAAUGGUCACAUCUGCACAGGACGAGGGGGCUUUGGCCGCCUGUCCCUGCACCAGCGUAACAACCAAGACCACUUUGCCUUUUAACAGGCGGCCUGCGGAGCGUCCGUGUGAUCCCACAUUCCGGCCGUCUGGCACGUCUUAAACCCAGAUAACUGCAAGGGAUUAUGCGCCCAGAUUACGGCCUCAGCUGUCCUGCUGUAUUUUAGCACGAGACGUUACAGAGAUGCAUACCGAGUCAUUGUUUAUCUUCAAAGAGAAAUGUGUGGUGGCGGAAAAAAAAGAAAGAAAGAACUGCUUUCCCACAUUUGCACUUACUUUACCCAUCAACAUAACAUUUCAAUCCAAGUCUUAUUGCCCUUGCUAGAGGCCAAAGCAAACUUUGCUUUUCUUCUCCAUCCAUUCCAUUGAAGGAUUUAGAUCCCAAAAUAAAUCAAAUCGGUGCUGAUUUAAUUUCCAUAUUCCUGGCAGAGAACAUGGGAGGCCUUUGAGGCCCCUGAUCUUUGUGUCCCUCCUUGUUGCUCUUUUCUGCCAAACAGCUGGGCUUCUUGCCAAUUCUCACCUGUUUUUUUUCCCCAAUUGUCCAGACAAACCCUCACCUAGCGCCCUUUAGUCAGAGAACC